Molecule: ribosomal RNA, 293 nt
Filed under: Salmonella enterica subsp. enterica serovar Typhimurium
Lineage: Bacteria; Pseudomonadati; Pseudomonadota; Gammaproteobacteria; Enterobacterales; Enterobacteriaceae
Description: partial 16S ribosomal RNA
Rfam family: Bacterial small subunit ribosomal RNA
Source: RNAcentral
GCGUGGCUUCCGGAGCUAACGCGUUAAGUAGACCGCCUGGGGAGUACGGCCGCAAGGUUAAAACUCAAAUGAAUUGACGGGGGCCCGCACAAGCGGUGGAGCAUGUGGUUUAAUUCGAUGCAACGCGAAGAACCUUACCUGGUCUUGACAUCCACAGAAGAAUCCAGAGAUGGAUUGGUGCCUUCGGGAACUGUGAGACAGGUGCUGCAUGGCUGUCGUCAGCUCGUGUUGUGAAAUGUUGGGUUAAGUCCCGCAACGAGCGCAACCCUUAUCCUUUGUUGCCAGCGAUUAGG